AGCAAGUGUGUGAAGCUACCACAUGAAGAUUGAAUUGAAUAACCGAAAUGGUGUGAAAAAAAUUUGAAUAUUUUAGAUUUUUCGGAGUUAUAAGGUAUUAGGAUGAAAAGAUGCUCAAAGAGCCACCCCUGGUAUCAUAUUAGUUAAAUCUCUAUCUUGAACGGAUUGCGACAAAUUGGUGUCAAUUUUGCCGAAUUUUUAAAAAUUAUUUUUCGU
Molecule: long non-coding RNA, 216 nt
Filed under: Ananas comosus (pineapple)
Lineage: Eukaryota; Viridiplantae; Streptophyta; Magnoliopsida; Poales; Bromeliaceae
Description: long non-coding RNA (ACOM_LNC008990)
Source: RNAcentral